Molecule: ribosomal RNA, 678 nt
Filed under: uncultured bacterium
Lineage: Bacteria
Description: bacterial SSU rRNA
Rfam family: Bacterial small subunit ribosomal RNA
Source: RNAcentral
GGGACAACAUUCCGAAAGGAGUGCUAAUACCGGAUGUGAUCAUCGUGCCGCAUGGCAGGAUGAAGAAAGAUGGCCUCUACAAGUAAGCUAUCGCUAAAGGAUGGGCCUGCGUCUGAUUAGCUAGUUGGUAGUGUAACGGACUACCAAGGCGAUGAUCAGUAGCCGGUCUGAGAGGAUGAACGGCCACAUUGGGACUGAGACACGGCCCAAACUCCUACGGGAGGCAGCAGUGGGGAAUCUUCCGCAAUGGACGAAAGUCUGACGGAGCAACGCCGCGUGAGUGAUGAAGGAUUUCGGUCUGUAAAGCUCUGUUGUUUAUGACGAACGUGCAGUGUGUGAACAAUGCAUUGCAAUGACGGUAGUAAACGAGGAAGCCACGGCUAACUACGUGCCAGCAGCCGCGGUAAUACGUAGGUGGCGAGCGUUGUCCGGAAUUAUUGGGCGUAAAGAGCAUGUAGGCGGCUUAAUAAGUCGAGCGUGAAAAUGCGGGGCUCAACCCCGUAUGGCGCUGGAAACUGUUAGGCUUGAGUGCAGGAGAGGAAAGGGGAAUUCCCAGUGUAGCGGUGAAAUGCGUAGAUAUUGGGAGGAACACCAGUGGCGAAGGCGCCUUUCUGGACUGUGUCUGACGCUGAGAUGCGAAAGCCAGGGUAGCGAACGGGAUUAGAUACCCCGGUAGUC